GUNGUUAGCCGUGACUUUCUAAGUAAUUACCGUCAAAUAAAGGCCAGUUACUACCUCUAUCUUUCUUCACUACCAACAGAGCUUUACGAGCCGAAACCCUUCUUCACUCACGCGGCGUUGCUCCAUCAGACUUGCGUCCAUUGUGGAAGAUUCCCUACUGCUGCCUCCCGUAGGAGUAGNGGGNAUCUUCCACAAUGGACGCANGUCUGAUGGAGCAACGCCGCGUGAGUGAAGAAGGGUUUCGGCUCGUAAAGCUCUGUUGGUAGUGAAGAAAGAUAGAGGGAGUAACUGGCCUUUAUUUGACGGUAAUUACUUAGAAAGUCACGGCUAACUACGUGCCAGCAGCCGCGGUAAUACA
RNAcentral lists this ribosomal RNA (358 nucleotides) under Lactobacillus sp. GTH5. Its description in RNAcentral is "partial 16S ribosomal RNA". The stretch from base 112 to 358 matches the Rfam family "Bacterial small subunit ribosomal RNA", at positions 39 to 527 of the family's 1533-position model. Lineage: Bacteria; Bacillati; Bacillota; Bacilli; Lactobacillales; Lactobacillaceae. The record is from RNAcentral.